Hyaloraphidium curvatum is the source of this 99-nucleotide non-coding RNA. The record is from the annotation of a GenBank genome assembly. NCBI's taxonomy places the organism in Eukaryota, Fungi, Monoblepharomycota, Hyaloraphidiomycetes, Hyaloraphidiales, Hyaloraphidiaceae.
GGUUCGAUGGUGUAGUUGGCCAUCACUUCUGUCUAACAAGCGUCGCAUUGCGAUGCUUGAGACCACAGACGGUCUCCGGUUCGAACCCGGAUCGAACCA